CUUGUUGGUGGGGUAAUGGCCUACCAAGGCAUCGACGGGUAGCUGGUCUGAGAGGAUGAUCAGCCACACUGGGACUGAGACACGGCCCAGACUCCUACGGGAGGCAGCAGUGGGGAAUCUUGCACAAUGGGCGAAAGCCUGAUGCAGCAACGCCGCGUGCGGGAAGAAGGCCCUCGGGUUGUAAACCGCUUUCAGAAGGAACGAAACUGACGGUACUUUCAGAAGAAGGUGCGGCCAACUACGUGCCAGCAGCCGCGGUGACACGUAGGCACCAAGCGUUGUCCGGAUUUAUUGGGCGUAAAGAGCUCGUAGGCGGUUCAGUAAGUCGGGUGUGAAAACUUUGGGCUUAACCCAAAGCGUGCAUCCGAUACUGCUGUGACUUGAGUACGGUAGGGGAGCGGGGAAUUCCUAGUGUAGCGGUGAAAUGCGCAGAUAUUAGGAGGAACACCGGGGGCGAAGGCGCCGCUCUGGGCCGAAACUGACGCUGAGGAGCGAAAGCAUGGGUAGCAAACAGGAUUAGAUACCCUGGUAGUCCAUGCCGUAAACGUUGGGCACUAGGUGUGGGUUCCAACCAACGGAAUCCGCGCCGUCGCUAACGCAUUAAGUGCCCCGCCUGGGGAGUACGGCCGCAAGGUUAAAACUCAAAGGAAUUGACG
Molecule: ribosomal RNA, 656 nt
Filed under: uncultured Actinomycetes bacterium
Lineage: Bacteria; Bacillati; Actinomycetota; Actinomycetes
Description: SSU rRNA
Rfam family: Bacterial small subunit ribosomal RNA
Source: RNAcentral